RNAcentral lists this ribosomal RNA (400 nucleotides) under uncultured bacterium. RNAcentral describes it as "bacterial SSU rRNA". It matches the Rfam family "Bacterial small subunit ribosomal RNA", at positions 357 to 775 of the family's 1533-position model. The record is from RNAcentral.
GGGAAUAUUGCACAAUGGGGGGAACCCUGAUGCAGCGACGCCGCGUGAGUGAAGAAGUAUUUCGGUAUGUAAAGCUCUGUCCUCAAGGAAGAUAAUGACGGUACUUGAGGAGGAAGCCCCGGCUAACUACGUGCCAGCAGCCGCGGUAAUACGUAGGGGGCUAGCGUUAUCCGGAAUUACUGGGCGUAAAGGGUGCGUAGGUGGUUUCUUAAGUCAGAGGUGAAAGGCUACGGCUCAACCGUAGUAAGCCUUUGAAACUGGGAAACUUGAGUGCAGGAGAGGAGAGUGGAAUUCCUAGUGUAGCGGUGAAAUGCGUAGAUAUUAGGAGGAACACCAGUUGCGAAGGCGGCUCUCUGGACUGUAACUGACACUGAGGCACGAAAGCGUGGGGAGCAAACAG